This 253-nucleotide ribosomal RNA is filed under the name Edaphobaculum sp. RNAcentral's name for it is "partial 16S ribosomal RNA". It matches the Rfam family "Bacterial small subunit ribosomal RNA", at positions 524 to 776 of the family's 1533-position model. The record is from RNAcentral. Lineage: Bacteria; Pseudomonadati; Bacteroidota; Chitinophagia; Chitinophagales; Chitinophagaceae. RNAcentral also lists the same sequence under 3 other names.
UACGGAGGGUGCAAGCGUUAUCCGGAUUCACUGGGUUUAAAGGGUGCGUAGGCGGCUAUUUAAGUCAGUGGUGAAAGCCCGCAGCUUAACUGUGGAAUUGCCAUUGAAACUGAGUAGCUCGAAUCUGGUUGAAGUGGGCGGAAUACAUCAUGUAGCGGUGAAAUGCAUAGAUAUGAUGUAGAACACCAAUUGCGAAGGCAGCUCACUAAGCCAACAUUGACGCUGAGGCACGAAAGCGUGGGGAGCAAACAGG